RNAcentral lists this ribosomal RNA (44 nucleotides) under uncultured Thelephoraceae. RNAcentral describes it as "partial 28S ribosomal RNA". Lineage: Eukaryota; Fungi; Basidiomycota; Agaricomycetes; Thelephorales; Thelephoraceae. The record is from RNAcentral.
GUUUGAUCUCAAAUCAGGUAGGACUACCCGCUGAACUUAAGCAU